Molecule: ribosomal RNA, 331 nt
Filed under: uncultured bacterium
Lineage: Bacteria
Description: bacterial SSU rRNA
Rfam family: Bacterial small subunit ribosomal RNA
Source: RNAcentral
AGAGUUCGAUUAUGGCUCAGGACGAACGCUGGCGGCGCGCCUAACACAUGCAAGUCGAACGAGUGAGAGAGAGCUUGCUUUCUCGAGCGAGUGGCGAACGGGUGAGUAACGCGUGAGGAACCUGCCUCAAAGAGGGGGACAACAGUUGGAAACGACUGCUAAUACCGCAUAAGCCCACGGUGCCGCAUGGCACAGAGGGAAAAGGAGCAAUCCGCUUUGAGAUGGCCUCGCGUCCGAUUAGCUAGUUGGUGAGGUAACGGCCCACCAAGGCAACGAUCGGUAGCCGGACUGAGAGGUUGAACGGCCACAUUGGGACUGAGACACGGCCCAG